Molecule: non-coding RNA, 54 nt
Organism: Salmo salar (Atlantic salmon)
Lineage: Eukaryota; Metazoa; Chordata; Actinopteri; Salmoniformes; Salmonidae
Source: Rfam
GAGAAAUUGUACUGUAAGUCGCUCUGGAUAAGAGCGUCUGCUAAAUGACUUAAA